GGAAAAAGAAAUAGCUAUCGAUCACAAAGACAUAAUGAUAAUAAGAUAUAGAAAUCAAAGACAGAAUGAGAAGGACAUUCGGCCAAAAAAAAGAAGAGAAGAGAAAAGUGAUUCGGCUCAGUAGAUAAGAGAAGAGGGAAGAGAAAAAGGAUUCGGUAAAGAUGGAAUUCGGCUAAAACAGACAAAAAGGAAAGAAAAAGAAAAGUAAAGAGAAAAAAAUGAAAUAAAUGAGCAAACUCGAGAGUAACUCCCAGAACUUGGCAAAAUUCAACUCCAAAACUAAAAUGUGAAACCCGAAACUAACACAAAUCGAAGUAGACUGAGAGAAAAACUCCAAAAUAAACCAAAACCGAUAACCUUACAUAAACAAUGAUCAAAUUUGGCACAAACACCCUCACCCAGCCGAAUUCUCAAUGCUUGACUUACCCCAAACGACACAACACUCCUCACAAAACAACUCCUUGAUUUAUUCCUAAAAUCUCUUCCCUUAUCCCUCAUUGAUUCACUCCGCCCAAUCACAAUCCCACUAUUCUCUCCAUGAUUCACUCCUCUAUUCAAAUUCCACAACAUUUCAGUCAAACUCCACCACCUCACUGCACAGGUGGUAAAAAUAAACACUCUACAGUGAAGCACAGGACUCGAACCUCAGACCUUAAGAGUACUUCACACGCC
Molecule: long non-coding RNA, 672 nt
Filed under: Gossypium raimondii (Peruvian cotton)
Lineage: Eukaryota; Viridiplantae; Streptophyta; Magnoliopsida; Malvales; Malvaceae
Description: long non-coding RNA (GRAI_LNC001633)
Source: RNAcentral